GUGAACUUAGUUUAACAAAAAACCUUUGAUUUGCAAUCAAAAAACCUAGGACAAACUCCCCUAGAGUUCACAA
This 73-nucleotide transfer RNA is filed under the name Echinaster luzonicus. RNAcentral describes it as "tRNA-Ala". It matches the Rfam family "tRNA". From Rfam's summary of the family: Transfer RNA (tRNA) molecules are approximately 80 nucleotides in length. The record is from RNAcentral. Lineage: Eukaryota; Metazoa; Echinodermata; Asteroidea; Spinulosida; Echinasteridae.